Molecule: ribosomal RNA, 562 nt
Filed under: Hypoxylon perforatum
Lineage: Eukaryota; Fungi; Ascomycota; Sordariomycetes; Xylariales; Hypoxylaceae
Description: eukaryotic LSU rRNA
Rfam family: Eukaryotic large subunit ribosomal RNA
Source: RNAcentral
AAACCAACAGGGAUUGCCCUAGUAACGGCGAGUGAAGCGGCAACAGCUCAAAUUUGAAAUCUGGCCCUUGCGGUCCGAAUUGUAAUUUGUAGAGGAUGCUUUUGGUGCGGUGCCUUCUGAGUUCCCUGGAACGGGACGCCAGAGAGGGUGAGAGCCCCGUACGGUUGGACACCUAGCCUAUAUAUAGCUCCUUCGACGAGUCGAGUAGUUUGGGAAUGCUGCUCUAAAUGGGAGGUAAAUUUCUUCUAAAGCUAAAUACCGGCCAGAGACCGAUAGCGCACAAGUAGAGUGAUCGAAAGAUGAAAAGCACUUUGAAAAGAGGGUUAAAUAGCACGUGAAAUUGUUGAAAGGGAAGCGUUUGCGACCAGACUUUUUCCAGGCGGAUCAUCCGGUGUUCUCACCGGUGCACUUCGUCUGGUUUAGGCCAGCAUCGGUUUUCUUAGGGGGAUAAAGGCUUGGGGAACGUAGCUCUUUCGGGAGUGUUAUAGCCCCUUGCGUAAUACCCCUCGGGGGACCGAGGAACGCGCUCUGCAAGGAUGCUGGCGUAAUGGUCGUCAACGAC